UACGUAGGGUGCGAGCGUUGUCCGGAAUUAUUGGGCGUAAAGGGCUCGUAGGCGGUUUGUCGCGUCGGGAGUGAAAACACCGGGCUUAACUCGGUGCUUGCUUUCGAUACGGGCAGACUAGAGGUAUGCAGGGGAGAACGGAAUUCCUGGUGUAGCGGUGAAAUGCGCAGAUAUCAGGAAGAACACCCGUGGCGAAGGCGGUUCUCUGGGACGGUACUGACGCUGAGACGCGAAAGCGUGGGGAGCGAACAGG
Molecule: ribosomal RNA, 253 nt
Filed under: uncultured bacterium
Lineage: Bacteria
Description: partial 16S ribosomal RNA
Rfam family: Bacterial small subunit ribosomal RNA
Source: RNAcentral